CAUGCAUGUCUAAGUAUAAGCAAUUAUACCGUGAAACUGCGAAUGGCUCAUUAAAUCAGUUAUCGUUUAUUUGAUAGUACCUUACUACUUGGAUAACCGUGGUAAUUCUAGAGCUAAUACAUGCUAAAAACCUCGACUUCGGGAGGGGUGUAUUUAUUAGAUAAAAAACCAAUGCCCUUCGGGGCUCUUUGGUGAUUCAUGAUAACUUCUCAGAUCGCAUGGCCUUGCGCCGGCGACGGUUCAUUCAAAUUUCUGCCCUAUCAACUUUCGAUGGUAAGGUAUUGGCUUACCAUGGUUUCAACGGGUAACGGGGAAUUAGGGUUCGAUUCCGGAGAGGGAGCCUGAGAAACGGCUACCACAUCCAAGGAAGGCAGCAGGCGCGCAAAUUACCCAAUCCCGACACGGGGAGGUAGUGACAAUAAAUACUGAUACAGGGCUCUUUUGGGUCUUGUAAUUGGAAUGAGUACAAUUUAAACCUCUUAACGAGGAACAAUUGGAGGGCAAGUCUGGUGCCAGCAGCCGCGGUAAUUCCAGCUCCAAUAGCGUAUAUUAAAGUUGUUGCAGUUAAAAAGCUCGUAGUUGAACCUUUGGCCUGGCUGGCAGGUCCGCCUCACCGCGUGCACUUGUCCGGCCGGGCCUUCUCUUCUGGGGAACCGCAUGCCCUUCACUGGGUGUGUUGGGGAACCAGGACUUUUACUUUGAAAAAAUUAGAGUGUUCAAAGCAGGCCUUUGCUCGAAUACGUUAGCAUGGAAUAAUAGAAUAGGACGUGCGGUCCUAUUUUGUUGGUUUCUAGGACCGCCGUAAUGAUUAAUAGGGACAGUCGGGGGCAUCAGUAUUCAAUUGUCAGAGGUGAAAUUCUUGGAUUUAUUGAAGACUAACUACUGCGAAAGCAUUUGCCAAGGAUGUUUUCAUUAAUCAGUGACGAAAGUUAGGGGAUCGAAGACGAUCAGAUACCGUCGUAGUCUUAACCAUAAACUAUGCCGACUAGGGAUCGGGCGGCGUUUCUAUUUUGACCCGCUCGGCACCUUACGAGAAAUCAAAGUGUUUGGGUUCUGGGGGGAG
RNAcentral lists this ribosomal RNA (1063 nucleotides) under Splanchnonema platani. RNAcentral's name for it is "SSU rRNA". It matches the Rfam family "Eukaryotic small subunit ribosomal RNA", at positions 50 to 1123 of the family's 1831-position model. The record is from RNAcentral. Lineage: Eukaryota; Fungi; Ascomycota; Dothideomycetes; Pleosporales.